GAUGAACGCUGGCGGCGUGCCUAAUACAUGCAAGUCGAGCGAACAGACGAGGAGCUUGCUCCUCUGACGUUAGCGGCGGACGGGUGAGUAACACGUGGAUAACCUACCUAUAAGACUGGGAUAACUUCGGGAAACCGGAGCUAAUACCGGAUAAUAUAUUGAACCGCAUGGUUCGAUGGUGAAAGACGGUUUUGCUGUCACUUAUAGAUGGAUCCGGGCGGCAUGAGCUGGUUGGUAAGGUAACGGGUUACCAAGGCGACGAUGCGUAGCCGACCGGAGAGGGUGAUCGGCCACACUGGAACUGAGACACGGUCCAGACUCCUACGGGAGGCAGCAGUAGGGAAUCUUACGCAAUGGGCGAAAGCCUGACGGAGCAACGCCGCGUGAGUGAUGAAGGUCUUCGGAUCGUAAAACUCUGUUAUUAGGGAAGAACAAAUGUGUAAGGAAAUAUGGACGUCGUGACGGUACCUAAUCAGAAAGCAACGGCUAACUACGUG
Molecule: ribosomal RNA, 497 nt
Filed under: uncultured bacterium
Lineage: Bacteria
Description: partial 16S ribosomal RNA
Rfam family: Bacterial small subunit ribosomal RNA
Source: RNAcentral